GACGUCGGCACGAAGCCGGGCGCUCGGGGCGUCGCGUCCGGUGGUAGUUGGGGACAGCUGUCGUUCGCCGCGGGUCUGGGGUUCCUCUCAUCUUCCGGCAUUGGCGUGUCCCGGCUCUUCGCCGUAAGUGUUCCCUCUGAGCUACGAAUUGUGCGAAUCAAGCUGAUAGAAUCAAGCCGAUUCGUCUAAAAGGUCUUUUUUUCCUGAAGGGAUUUUCGGUUUUCCUGAGGGGAGCUUAUACGAAUAAGGAAGCUGCUGCCUGGACGCGGGCGGGCUCUGAGCGACCGGUAUAGUGAUGCUGGCCCUCUUCCUCGGUUGUGUGCGGGGCGGGGGUCGUCCGCGGAUCGGGGCCUGGGUGCUGUCAGCGGCGGGUCAGCGCUCCCCUCCUGCAGAGCCCGAGGCCACCGUGUGCUGUCGUCUUGUGUUUGUUGCAUGUCUGAGGUGACACCGGCCCGGACACUGGGUUCAGCGACCCGUUACGUAAAGAUCGCGAGUGGCUUUUUUUGUGGUCAGGAUCGGAUGAUCCUACACUCCGAUCCGAUCGGAUCACUACACUGGAGAGGCCGGUUUUUGUGAUGACAGACUGGGCGCCUCCCAACUCAGGAGCAGUCCACCGCCCUGGAGAUCUGCCCGCGAAACAGCUGGCCCGGGGCCAGGUCGUCCCUGGCUAACGGUGCCCCCAAGCAGCUCAAAAGUCUGUAUAGUGACUCAUCUCUAUUUCAAAGACCCUAAAAGCGCCUGAUGUUCUCCAAAGCUGUCUUUGAGGUUUUUACUCAUAUUCCAGGGAGAGGUACAAUCCCGGCCCAUGCUGGACGGGUCCACACCCUACUACAAGGGCAGUUACCUGUGCAGACGGCCCAGGAAGCAUCCAAAGGUCACCUUUGGCUUAAUCUGUUUAUUUUUUUUAAAGUGAUCACCACUGAAUUUUUUGUUGUUGUUCUUUUGAAGAUUUAUUUGUUUAUUUGAAAGAGAGAAUUCUUCUAUCUGCUGGUUCACUCCCCAGAUGGCUGCCAUGGCCAGGGUUGGGUCAAGCCAAAGCCAGCAGCUUCCUCCGGGUCUCCCACGUGGCUGGCAGGGGCUCAAGGGCUUGGGCCAUCUUCCACUGCUUUCUCCAGGCCAUUAGCAGGGAGAUGGAUCGGAAGUGGAACAACCAGGACAAGAACCAGUGUCCAUAUGGGAUGCUGGCGUCGCAGGUAGCAGCUAUACACUCUGUGCCACAAUGCUGGCCCCUCCUUUUAUUUCUGAUAAAGAUUUAUUUGAAAGGCAGAGUGAGAGAAAGAGAGAGCUCUUUCAUGUGCUGGUUCACUCCCCAGAUGGCAACAAGGGUUGGAGCAGAGCCAGGCGGCAGCCUGGAGCCUGGAACUCCAUCCAGGGUUUCCACAAGGGUGGCAGAAGCCCAAGCAUUGGGCCUUUUUCCUCUUUCCCAGGUGCUCUAGAGGGGAGCACUCUGAUAUGGGAUGCAGGCUGCAGCCUAGCUUGCUACUCCACAACACUGGCUCCAGUGCUUCAUUUUAAUUCUAAGAUAGGUGACACUUCAUUUUCAUAUGCAGAUAUGUGACACUGGCAUUUCAUAUGAACCCUGGUUUGGGGCCCAGCUGUUCGACUUCCAAUCCAGCUCCUUGAUAAUCUGCCUGGAAAAGCAGCAGCAGAUGGCCUGGGUACUUGACCCCCUGCCACCCACGUGGGAGAUCCAGAUGUAAUUCCAGGCUCCUGGCUUUGACCUGACCCCGGCUGUUUUGGCUAUUUGAGUAGUGAACCAGCAGAUGGAAGAUCUUUCUGUCUCUCUCUCUCUCUCUAACUCUUUAACUCUACCUUUCGUAUAAAUAAAUCUUUUUAAAAAUUACGAAGGUAUCUGCUCCAGGAGGAGCUAAAGCCUUUUUUUUUUUUUUUAAGAUUUAUUUAUUUAUUUGAAAGGCAGAGUUGCAGAGAGGCAGAGGCAGAGAGAGAGAGAGGUCGUCCAUCUGAUGGUGCACUUCCCAGAUGGCUGCAACAGCUGGAACCGGGCCAAUCCGAAGCCAGGAGCAGGUGCAGGGGCCCAAGCACUUGGGCUAUCUUCUACUGCUUUCCCAGGCCACAGCAGAGAGCUGGAUCGGAAGUAGAGCAGCCAGGACUUGAACCAGCGCCCAUAUGGGAUGCUGGCGCUGCAGGCAACGGCUCUACUCGCUACACCACAGCGCUGGCGCCUUAAGCCUUCUUACCAUCACGUGUAACCUGUGUGAGAACGUGUUUUUUUUUUUUUUUUUUUUUUUUUUUUUUUUUUUUUUUACAGGCAGAGUUAGACAGAGACAGAGAGAAAGGCCUUCUUUCCCUUGGUUCACCCCCCAAAUGGCCGCCAUGGCCAGCGCGCUGCGCCUAUCUGAAGCCAGGAGCCAGGUGCUUCCUCCUGGUCUCCUAUGCAGGUGCCGGGCCCAAGCACUUGGGCCAUCCUCCACUGCACUCUGGGGCCACAGCAGAGAGCUGGACUGGAAGAGGAGCAACCGGGGUGCUGGCGCCACAGGCGGAGGAUUAGCCUAGUGAGCCACGGCGCUGGCCAGGAACAUGUUCUAAACUGGGCCAGCACGAGCUUGUGCCUGCCCUUACAUGUGAUGGCGGGAACUUUCCCUCUGAUAGAUUGAUUUCCCCUAAAAAGAAAAGAUGCACAUUUACCCCUGCUCUUGGAGUCAGGGCUUUGGGAAUGAAUCCUUGUGCUCUCUUGAUUUGCUGCAAAUACAUUACUUUGUGAGACAGCUUCUCUGGCACAUUUCCUUUUUCUUUUCUUUCUUUCUUUCUUUCUUUCUUUCUUUUUUUUUUUUUUUUUUUUUUUUUUUUUUUUUUUUUGA
Non-coding RNA from Oryctolagus cuniculus (rabbit), 2819 nucleotides. NCBI's taxonomy places the organism in Eukaryota, Metazoa, Chordata, Mammalia, Lagomorpha, Leporidae. The record is from RefSeq and is a predicted model, not a curated record.